Molecule: long non-coding RNA, 248 nt
Filed under: Rattus norvegicus (Norway rat)
Lineage: Eukaryota; Metazoa; Chordata; Mammalia; Rodentia; Muridae
Description: long non-coding RNA NONRATT002295
Source: RNAcentral
CCUGAGGGUCGAAGGUCAGAACACCACCGCCAUCAGCCUGAGCUGGGACCCUCCUGAGAACUCCUCCUCGCAGGACCUCACCUACUGGGCGCAGUGCAUCGGAUAUGAUGGCAAAAAUGAGACCCGGCAUACAAAAGACACCAGAGUCACUGUGGAUGGACUUGAUCCUGGGACUUCAUAUGAAUGCUCUGUGAGAGUGGAGAAGGAUGGCGUCUACAGCACUUGGGAGACAAAAAAUACCACAACAG